GAUGAAGAACGUAGCGAAAUGCGAUAAGUAAUGUGAAUUGCAGAAUUCAGUGAAUCAUCGAAUCUUUGAACGCACAUUGCGCCCGCUAGUAUUCUGGCGGGCAUGCCUGUCCGAGCGUCAUUUCAACCCUCAAGCCCCCGGGCUUGGUGUUGGGGAUCGGCGAGCCUCCGCGCCCGCCGUCCCCUAAAUCUAGUGGCGGUCUCGCUGUAGCUUCCUCUGCGUAGAGCACACCUCGCACUGGGAAACAGCGCGGCCACGCCGUUAAACCCCCAACUUCUGAACGUUUGACCUCGGAUCAGGUAGGAAUACCCGCUGAACUUAAGCAUAUCAAUAAGCGGAGGA
Molecule: unclassified non-coding RNA, 342 nt
Filed under: soil metagenome
Description: partial contains 5.8S ribosomal RNA, internal transcribed spacer 2, and large subunit ribosomal RNA
Rfam family: 5.8S ribosomal RNA (bases 1-120)
Source: RNAcentral